Molecule: long non-coding RNA, 575 nt
Filed under: Brassica napus (rape)
Lineage: Eukaryota; Viridiplantae; Streptophyta; Magnoliopsida; Brassicales; Brassicaceae
Description: long non-coding RNA (BNAP_LNC015653)
Source: RNAcentral
AGAAGCCGUGUGAGAUCAAACCGACAAAGGAACACUUGUCGCCACGUCAGCACGUUGAUUCCUACACCGACUCAGAAUUCUCCACGUGUCUUCCCAAACGGCUAGUUUUUCUUAGCCGUCUUUUGCUUACCCAAGAAAGGAAGGGAGAAGGAAGGUAAACAAAUUUAAAAAUUAAACAAAUAAAAAUUGAAGAUAUUUUUGCCCAAGGAAGUUCCGGGUGUUUUACAUUUCUAUAAAAUAAAGGGAAAUUACCUAGAAUAACUCACAUUUUUGGGUAAUGACUAGAAUGACUUGUAAAAAAAACAAAAAAUUGAAAACUACUAUCAAAAGUCUAAAAUACCCCAUAGAUAAAUGAAUUCAAAAUAUAAUAUCUUAUUUUGAAAUAUAAACUUUAUUAAAAAAACUAGAAAAGAUAACAAUUAAAAAAUAUCAUUCCCGAUCAAAGACAAAAAAAGACGCUCCCCACCAAAACCCUUUUUCCAGUAACAGAUGAACCCUAAAUCCUCUAUUCUCAACUCUGUUCUCCUUCGUUUUGACAUGAUUUCUCCUUGAUUCGAUCUUGUUCGCAUUCUCAU